CUGCUGCCUUCCGUAGGAGUCUGGUCUGUGUCUCAGUACCAGUGUGGGGGACCUUCCUCUCAGAACCCCUACGCAUCGUCGCCUCGGUGGGCCGUUACCCCGCCGACUAGCUAAUGCGACGCAUGGCCAUCCUAUGCCGGAGUCGCCUCCUUUGACCCCAAGAAGAUGUCUCCUAAAGGUGUUAUGCGGUAUUAGACGGAAUUUCUUCCGCUUAUCCCCCUGCAUAGGGCAGGUUCCAUACGUGUUACUCACCCGUGCGCCGG
Molecule: ribosomal RNA, 263 nt
Filed under: uncultured bacterium
Lineage: Bacteria
Description: partial 16S ribosomal RNA
Source: RNAcentral